This 207-nucleotide ribosomal RNA is filed under the name uncultured fungus. RNAcentral describes it as "partial 18S ribosomal RNA". It matches the Rfam family "Eukaryotic small subunit ribosomal RNA", at positions 684 to 887 of the family's 1831-position model. The record is from RNAcentral. Lineage: Eukaryota; Fungi.
UACUGGUGUUACUGGUUCCUACCUUCUGACGAACCAUCAUGUCAUUAAUUUGGUGUGGCGGGGAAUCAGGACUGUUACUUUGAAAAAAUUAGAGUGUUUAAAGCAGGCUCGCGCUUGAAUACAUUAGCAUGGAAUAAUGAAAUAGGACGUUGACCCUAUUUUGUUGGUUUCUAGGAUUGACGUAAUGAUUAAUAGGGAUAGUUGGGA